UACGUAGGGAGCAAGCGUUGUCCGGAAUAAUUGGGCGUAAAGCGCGCGUAGGUGGCCCUGUAAGUCCGUUGUGAAAGUCAAAGGCUCAACCUUUGAAAGCCGAUGGAUACUGCAGGGCUAGAGUACGGAAGAGGCGAGUGGAAUUCCUGGUGUAGCGGUGGAAUGCGCAGAUAUCAGGAGGAACACCAAUAGCGAAGGCAGCUCGCUGGGACGUUACUGACACUGAGGCGCGAAAGCGUGGGGAGCGAACAGG
Molecule: ribosomal RNA, 253 nt
Filed under: uncultured bacterium
Lineage: Bacteria
Description: partial 16S ribosomal RNA
Rfam family: Bacterial small subunit ribosomal RNA
Source: RNAcentral